RNAcentral lists this unclassified non-coding RNA (713 nucleotides) under Melitaea cinxia (Glanville fritillary). Its description in RNAcentral is "misc RNA ENSMCXG00005000689.1". The record is from RNAcentral. Lineage: Eukaryota; Metazoa; Arthropoda; Insecta; Lepidoptera; Nymphalidae.
UUAAGCUUAGAAUCCAAAAGGCGACUGAUACUGUCGAGUGUGAGUGGCUCUGAUGUCGUGCUGUUGCUGUCAAUUGUAGCAUCUAGGUUCAAAUUGUCACACGACAUAUUCAUUGGUUCUGUAGGAACUUGUGUAGACCUCACCGGAGUAUUACAAUUCGAGCCAGUACGGCGUGUCACAUUGUUACAAGAAGGACAAAUCCAGGAAGAGAGGUAUUCUUUAGAGAGCUUAGCAAACUGUGCAUUGUUUAUAUUCAGGCACAUGUGAUGAUAUUUUAACUUGCACAAGCUACAUUGCAAAAAUGUUUUUGGCUCAACAUGUUUCCUGCAAGCGUCACAACAGCGAUCCAUAUCGUCCCCCAAAAUUUCACUAUACCAUAUAAUAUUAACAAAAACAAUAUUGUUGUUUAUUUAAAUAUUGUUCAUUUAAGCAAUUAUUUAUCUUUUAUUCAUCCCUUUGCAAAUAAAUUACAAUGAAAUAUAAAUAAAAAGUAAUACAAAUUUAAACAACUACAACUACCAAACAAAUUAAUUAAUACAUUUCAAAUACAUAUCAAUAGUAACACUAAUUACUUAUAUAAUUAUAUAAAAAAAAUUGUGUCUGUAAAAAAAAAUAUAUUGCAUAAACAAAAAAAAAAAAAUAUUGAAGAAAAAAAAAUAUAUGAAAAAAAAAAAAAAAAAAAAAAAAAAAAAAAAAAAAAAAAAAAAAAAAAA